This 429-nucleotide ribosomal RNA is filed under the name uncultured bacterium. Its description in RNAcentral is "bacterial SSU rRNA". It matches the Rfam family "Bacterial small subunit ribosomal RNA", at positions 355 to 776 of the family's 1533-position model. The record is from RNAcentral.
UGGGGAAUUUUGCACAAUGGGCGCAAGCCUGAUGCAGCGACGCCGCGUGGAGGGUGACGGUCUUCGGAUUGUAAACUCCUGUUAAGUGGAAAGAAAGACGUAUGGUUAAUACCCAUACGGGAUGACGGUACCACUAGAGAAAGCUCCGGCUAACUUCGUGCCAGCAGCCGCGGUAAUACGAAGGGAGCUAGCGUUAUUCGGAAUUACUGGGCGUAAAGGGCGCGUAGGCGGCCUACUAAGUCAGUUGUUAAAACCCUCAGCUUAACUGAGGAUAGGCGAUUGAUACUGGUGGGCUAGAGGUAGAGAGAGAGAAGUGGAAUUCUCGGAGUAGCGGUAAAAUGCGUAGAUCUCGAGAGGAACACCGAUAGCGAAGGCAGCUUCUUGGCUCUAUACUGACGCUGAGGCGCGAAAGCGUGGGGAGCAAACAGG